RNAcentral lists this ribosomal RNA (344 nucleotides) under uncultured Verrucomicrobiota bacterium. RNAcentral describes it as "bacterial SSU rRNA". It matches the Rfam family "Bacterial small subunit ribosomal RNA", at positions 29 to 351 of the family's 1533-position model. Lineage: Bacteria; Pseudomonadati; Verrucomicrobiota. The record is from RNAcentral.
AACGAACGCUGGCGGCGUGGAUAAGACAUGCAAGUCGAACGCUGAUUGCGGAGUAGCAAUAUUCUGCAAUCGGAGUGGCGCACUGGUGCGUAACACGUGGGUAAUUUGCCGCGAAGUUCGGGACAACUCCGAGAAAUCGGAGCUAAUACCGGAUGUGAUCGCCUGGGGACAUCCCUGGGCGGUUAAAGUUGGGGACCGCAAGGCCUGACGCUUCACGAUAAGCCCGCGGCCUAUCAGCUAGUUGGUGAGGUAACGGCCCACCAAGGCUAAGACGGGUAGCUGGUCUGAGAGGACGACCAGCCACACUGGAACUGAGACACGGUCCAGACACCUACGGGUGGCAG